RNAcentral lists this ribosomal RNA (478 nucleotides) under uncultured bacterium. Its description in RNAcentral is "partial 16S ribosomal RNA". It matches the Rfam family "Bacterial small subunit ribosomal RNA", at positions 28 to 507 of the family's 1533-position model. The record is from RNAcentral.
GAUGAACGCUGGCGGCGUGCUUAACACAUGCAAGUCGAACGAGAAGAGGAGACGGAAACCUUCGGGCGGAAGACUUUACUUCGAGUGGCGGACGGGUGAGUAACGCGUGGGUAACCUGCCUCAUACAGGGGGAUAACAGUUGGAAACGACUGUUAAUACCGCAUAAGACCACAGCACCGCAUGGUGCGGGGGUAAAAACUCCGGUGGUAUGAGAUGGACCCGCGUUCGAUUAGCCAGUUGGCGGGGUAACGGCCCACCAAAGCGACGAUCGAUAGCCGAUCUGAGAGGAUGACCGGCCACAUUGGGACUGAGACACGGCCCAAACUCCUACGGGAGGCAGCAGUGGGGAAUAUUGCACAAUGGGGGAAACCCUGAUGCAGCGACGCCGCGUGAGUGAAGAAGUAUUUCGGUAUGUAAAGCUCUAUCAGCAGGGAAGAAAAUGACAGUACCUGAGUAAGAAGCCCCGGCUAACUACGUG